UCGCCUGUUUAUCAAAAACAUCUCUUUAUGUUUAGUAUUUAUAUAAAGUAUAGCCUGCUCACUGACUAACUAAGUUAAAGAGCCGCGGUAUCCUGACCGUGCGAAGGUAGCAUAAUAAUUAGCCUUUUAAUUGAAGGCUUGUAUGAAUGGUUGGACAAAAAGAAAGCUGUCUCAACUUUAAAAAUUAAAUUUAACUUUUAAGUGAAAAGGCUUAAAUAAUUUAGAGGGACGAUAAGACCCUAUAAAGCUUUACUGGUUGAAAAUUUUAGUAUUAAUUAUUAAGUUUUAACUUACUUAAAUUUUUAUCAGUUUCAUUGGGGCGAUGAAAAUAUAAUAAAUUAACUGUUUUUAAUUUUUUUGAGUUACAAGUAUUGUUGUAGUUAAAUGAUCCUUUAUUAAAGAUUAAAAGUUUAAGUUACUUUAGGGAUAACAGCGUAAUCUACCUUAAGAGUCCAAAUCGACAGGAAGGUAUUGCGACCUCGAUGUUGAAUUAAAAUUCCUUUCUAAUGUAGCCGUUAGAAUUAGGAGGUCUGUUCGACCUUUAAAAUUUUACAUGAUCUGAGUUCAAACCGGGU
This 575-nucleotide ribosomal RNA is filed under the name Acetes indicus. Its description in RNAcentral is "partial 16S ribosomal RNA". It matches the Rfam family "Bacterial large subunit ribosomal RNA", at positions 1796 to 2621 of the family's 2925-position model. The record is from RNAcentral. Lineage: Eukaryota; Metazoa; Arthropoda; Malacostraca; Decapoda; Sergestidae.